Molecule: ribosomal RNA, 404 nt
Filed under: uncultured bacterium
Lineage: Bacteria
Description: bacterial SSU rRNA
Rfam family: Bacterial small subunit ribosomal RNA
Source: RNAcentral
UGGGGGAUAUUGCACAAUGGAGGAAACUCUGAUGCAGCGACGCCGCGUGAGGGAAGACGGUUUUCGGAUUGUAAACCUCUGUCUUCAGGGACGAAAUGAAUGACGGUACCUGAGGAGGAAGCUCCGGCUAACUACGUGCCAGCAGCCGCGGUAAUACGUAGGGAGCAAGCGUUGUCCGGAAUUACUGGGUGUAAAGGGAGCGUAGGCGGGAAUGCAAGUUGAAUGUCAAAUCUACCGGCUUAACUGGUAGCCGCGUUCAAAACUGCGUUUCUUGAGUGAAGUAGAGGCAGGCGGAAUUCCUAGUGUAGCGGUGAAAUGCGUAGAUAUUAGGAGGAACACCAGUGGCGAAGGCGGCCUGCUGGGCUUUUACUGACGCUGAGGCUCGAAAGUGUGGGUAGCAAACA